AGGGAAUCUUCCACAAUGGACGCAAGUCUGAUGGAGCAACGCCGCGUGAGUGAAGAAGGCUUUCGGGUCGUAAAACUCUGUUAUUGAAGAAGAACGUGUGUGACAGUAACUGGUCAUGCAGUGACGGUAUUCAAUCAGAAAGUCACGGCUAACUACGUGCCAGCAGCCGCGGUAAUACGUAGGUGGCAAGCGUUGUCCGGAUUUAUUGGGCGUAAAGCGAGUGCAGGCGGUCUUUUAAGUCUGAUGUGAAAGCCUUCGGCUUAACCGAAGAAGGGCAUCGGAAACUGGGAGACUUGAGUGCAGAAGAGGAGAGUGGAACUCCAUGUGUAGCGGUGAAAUGCGUAGAUAUAUGGAAGAACACCAGUGGCGAAGGCGGCUCUCUGGUCUGUAACUGACGCUGAGGCUCGAAAGCGUGGGUAGCAAACAGGAUUAGAUACCCUGGUAGUCCACGCCGUAAACG
RNAcentral lists this ribosomal RNA (460 nucleotides) under uncultured bacterium. Its description in RNAcentral is "partial 16S ribosomal RNA". It matches the Rfam family "Bacterial small subunit ribosomal RNA", at positions 356 to 808 of the family's 1533-position model. The record is from RNAcentral.